This 360-nucleotide ribosomal RNA is filed under the name uncultured bacterium. RNAcentral's name for it is "bacterial SSU rRNA". It matches the Rfam family "Bacterial small subunit ribosomal RNA", at positions 8 to 353 of the family's 1533-position model. The record is from RNAcentral.
AGAGUUUGAUCAUGGCUCAGGAUGAAACGCUAGCUACAGGCUUAACACAUGCAAGUCGAGGGGCUAGCAGUUUUAGUUUGCUUGCAAACUAAAGAUGGCGACCGGCGCACGGGUGAGUAACACGUAUCCAACCUGCCGAUAACUCGGGGGAUAGCCUUUCGAAAGAAAGAUUAAUAUCCGAUGGUAUAUUAAAACCGCAUGGUUUUACUAUUAAAGAAUUUCGGUUAUCGAUGGGGAUGCGUUCCAUUAGUUUGUUGGCGGGGUAACGGCCCACCAAGACUACGAUGGAUAGGGGUUCUGAGAGGAAGGUCCCCCCACAUUGGAACUGAGACACGGUCCAAACUCCUACGGGAGGCAGCA